AGAAAUCUAUGGAGUAUAUAGAGAAAAUAGAAUUUCACAAUAUGCCUAUGCCCAACGCAACCAAAAGUAGAUCAACAAAAUUACCAUACACCGUUGAAUUGUUUCCAAACUAUUUCACUACCUACUUGUAGCUCAAACCUUCUCAAGAGAUAGAUUAAGAUGAAUCCUAGAAAUUAGUGAAAUCAACAAAUCAAGCGCAAAAUACACAAGGAUUUGUUUACCAAAGUUCGGAUUCCUUCACUGAGGAUUCCUACGUCUUCGUUGGGUGCUUCCAAUGAAGCCGGAUCACUCUCAACCCUUCC
RNAcentral lists this long non-coding RNA (302 nucleotides) under Setaria viridis. Its description in RNAcentral is "long non-coding RNA (SVIR_LNC004750)". Lineage: Eukaryota; Viridiplantae; Streptophyta; Magnoliopsida; Poales; Poaceae. The record is from RNAcentral.